Molecule: ribosomal RNA, 1800 nt
Filed under: Yersinia enterocolitica
Lineage: Bacteria; Pseudomonadati; Pseudomonadota; Gammaproteobacteria; Enterobacterales; Yersiniaceae
Description: bacterial LSU rRNA
Rfam family: Bacterial large subunit ribosomal RNA
Source: RNAcentral
CAUGUUCAAGCCACACUAAACGUUGAGUUGGCCGGUGUGCUGACAAACGAACAGGCGUUUUAAGGAUACGUUCGUUGGGUAGGGGAGCGUUCUGUAAGCCGUUGAAGGUGGCCUGUGAGGGUUGCUGGAGGUAUCAGAAGUGCGAAUGCUGACAUAAGUAACGAUAAUGCGGGAGAAAAACCCGCACGCCGGAAGACCAAGGGUUCCUGUCCAACGUUAAUCGGGGCAGGGUGAGUCGACCCCUAAGGCGAGGCUGAAAAGCGUAGUCGAUGGGAAACAGGUUAAUAUUCCUGUACUUGGUGUUACUGCGAAGGGGGGACGGAGAAGGCUAGGCUAGCCGGGCGACGGUUGUCCCGGUUUAAGCAUGUAGGCGGAGUGACCAGGUAAAUCCGGUUGCUUAUCAACGCUGAGGUGUGAUGACGAUGCACUACGGUGCAGAAGUAGUUGAUGCCAUGCUUCCAGGAAAAGCCUCUAAGCAUCAGGUAACAUGAAAUCGUACCCCAAACCGACACAGGUGGUCAGGUAGAGAAUACUCAGGCGCUUGAGAGAACUCGGGUGAAGGAACUAGGCAAAAUGGUGCCGUAACUUCGGGAGAAGGCACGCUGGCAUUAGGUAAAGGGACUUGCUCCCGGCGCCGAAGCCAGUCGCAGAUACCAGCUGGCUGCAACUGUUUAAUAAAAACACAGCACUGUGCAAACACGAAAGUGGACGUAUACGGUGUGACGCCUGCCCGGUGCUGGAAGGUUAAUUGAUGGGGUCAGCCGCAAGGCGAAGCUCUUGAUCGAAGCCCCAGUAAACGGCGGCCGUAACUAUAACGGUCCUAAGGUAGCGAAAUUCCUUGUCGGGUAAGUUCCGACCUGCACGAAUGGCGUAAUGAUGGCCAGGCUGUCUCCACCCGAGACUCAGUGAAAUUGAACUCGCUGUGAAGAUGCAGUGUACCCGCGGCAAGACGGAAAGACCCCGUGAACCUUUACUAUAGCUUGACACUGAACAUUGAGCCUUGAUGUGUAGGAUAGGUGGGAGGCAUAGAAGUGUGGACGCCAGUCUGCAUGGAGCCAACCUUGAAAUACCACCCUUUAAUGUUUGAUGUUCUAACUCGGCCCCGUAAUCCGGGGUGAGGACAGUGUCUGGUGGGUAGUUUGACUGGGGCGGUCUCCUCCCAAAGAGUAACGGAGGAGCACGAAGGUUAGCUAAUCACGGUCGGACAUCGUGAGGUUAGUGCAAAGGCAUAAGCUAGCUUGACUGCGAGAGUGACGGCUCGAGCAGGUACGAAAGUAGGUCUUAGUGAUCCGGUGGUUCUGAAUGGAAGGGCCAUCGCUCAACGGAUAAAAGGUACUCCGGGGAUAACAGGCUGAUACCGCCCAAGAGUUCAUAUCGACGGCGGUGUUUGGCACCUCGAUGUCGGCUCAUCACAUCCUGGGGCUGAAGUAGGUCCCAAGGGUAUGGCUGUUCGCCAUUUAAAGUGGUACGCGAGCUGGGUUUAGAACGUCGUGAGACAGUUCGGUCCCUAUCUGCCGUGGGCGUUGGAAGAUUGAGAGGGGCUGCUCCUAGUACGAGAGGACCGGAGUGGACGAAUCACUGGUGUUCGGGUUGUCAUGCCAAUGGCAUUGCCCGGUAGCUAAAUUCGGAAGAGAUAACCGCUGAAAGCAUCUAAGCGGGAAACUUGCCUCGAGAUGAGUCUUCCCUGGGGCUUUAAGCCCCCUGAAGGAACGUUAAAGACGAUGACGUUGAUAGGCUGGGUGUGUAAGUGCAGCGAUGCAUUGAGCUAACCAGUACUAAUGAACCGUGAGGCUUAACCUU